AGCUUCCAUGGUUGACGGCUCUCA
Molecule: non-coding RNA, 24 nt
Filed under: Arabidopsis thaliana (thale cress)
Lineage: Eukaryota; Viridiplantae; Streptophyta; Magnoliopsida; Brassicales; Brassicaceae
Source: RNAcentral